GCAUAUCAAUAAGCGGAGGAAAGAACCACAGGGAUUGCCUCAGUAACGGCGAGUGAAGCGGCAAGAGCUCAAAUUUGAAAGCUGGCCCCCUCGGGGUCCGCAUUGUAAUUUGCAGAGGAUGCUUCGGGAGUGGCCCCCAUCUAAGUGCUCUGGAACGGGCCGUCAUAGAGGGUGAGAAUCCCGUAUGGGAUGGGGUGUCCGCGACCAUGUGAAGCUCCUUCGACGAGUCGAGUUGUUUGGGAAUGCAGCUCUAAAUGGGUGGUAAAUUUCAUCUAAAGCUAAAUAUUGGCCGGAGACCGAUAGCGCACAAGUAGAGUGAUCGAAAGAUGAAAAGCACUUUGAAAAGAGAGUUAAAAAGCACGUGAAAUUGUUGAAAGGGAAGCGCUUGCGACCAGACUCGCCUACGGGGUUCAGCCGGUAUUCGUACCGGUGUACUUCCCCGUGGGCGGGCCAGCGUCGGUUUGGGCGGCCGGUCAAAGGCCCUCGGAAUGUAACGCCUCUCGGGGCGUCUUAUAGCCGAGGGUGCCAUGCGGCCAGCCCGGACCGAGGAACGCGCUUCGGCACGGACGCUGGCAUAAUGGUCGUAAGCGACCCGUCUUGAAACACGGACCAAGGAGUCUAACAUCUACGCGAGUGUUCGGGUGUCAAACCCGUGCGCGCAGUGAAAGCGAACGGAGGUGGGAACCCUCACGGGUGCACCAUCGACCGAUCCUGAAGUCUUCGGAUGGAUUUGAGUAAGAGCGUAGCUGUUGGGACCCGAAAGAUGGUGAACUAUGCCUGAAUAGGGCGAAGCCAGAGGAAACUCUGGUGGAGGCUCGCAGCGGUUCUGACGUGCAAAUCGAUCGUCAAAUUUGGGUAUAGGGGCGAAAGACUAAUCGAACCAUCUAGUAGCUGGUUCUGC
RNAcentral lists this ribosomal RNA (901 nucleotides) under Penicillium fagi. Its description in RNAcentral is "LSU rRNA". It matches the Rfam family "Eukaryotic large subunit ribosomal RNA", at positions 38 to 960 of the family's 3401-position model. The record is from RNAcentral. Lineage: Eukaryota; Fungi; Ascomycota; Eurotiomycetes; Eurotiales; Aspergillaceae.